This 253-nucleotide ribosomal RNA is filed under the name uncultured bacterium. RNAcentral describes it as "partial 16S ribosomal RNA". It matches the Rfam family "Bacterial small subunit ribosomal RNA", at positions 524 to 776 of the family's 1533-position model. The record is from RNAcentral.
UACAGAGAGUGCAAACGUUGUUCGGAAUUACUGGGCUUAAAGCGCACGUAGGCGGCAUCGUAAGUGUGGAGUGAAAUCCCACGGCUUACCCGUGGAACUGCUUGGCAGACUGCGAUGCUCGAGUGUGGUAGGGGAGAGCGGAACUCCUGGUGGAGCGGUGAAAUGCGUAGAUAUCAGGAGGAACACCGGUGGCGAAGGCGGCUCUCUGGUCCACAACUGACGCUGAGGUGCGAAAGCGUGGGGAGCAAACAGG